UACGUAGGGGGCAAGCGUUAUCCGGAUUUACUGGGUGUAAAGGGAGCGUAGACGGAGAAGCAAGUUAGUUGUGAAAUCCCUCGGCUUAACUGAGGAACUGCAACUAAAACUACUUCCCUUGAGUACUGGAGAGGAAAGUGGAAUUCCUAGUGUAGCGGUGAAAUGCGUAGAUAUUAGGAGGAACACCAGUGGCGAAGGCGACUUUCUGGACAGUAACUGACGUUGAGGCACGAAAGUGUGGGGAGCAAACAGG
This 253-nucleotide ribosomal RNA is filed under the name uncultured bacterium. RNAcentral describes it as "partial 16S ribosomal RNA". It matches the Rfam family "Bacterial small subunit ribosomal RNA", at positions 524 to 776 of the family's 1533-position model. The record is from RNAcentral.